UUAAGAGCCAACAUGUUGCCAUUUUGAGUAAGCACUUUUAUAUGAACAGUUGUAUCCCUAUCUAUUAUACUUGUAUAUAUAUAUAUAGCAUUAAUUAUUCCCCCUCGCAUACAUAUGGUCAUAGUCAUAUGGAGUACUACAAAUUGCAUAAACCUUUGGGUUUUUGGUCAUAAUCACCAUAGCUGUCAGCUUGUACUUGAACCAAUAUCAUCAGCAGUUCAACCAAAGCCCUAAGCCCCUUCAAGUUUUCUCUUCUUCAACCUUUAUCUAGCCAG
This 275-nucleotide long non-coding RNA is filed under the name Panax ginseng (ginseng). RNAcentral describes it as "long non-coding RNA (PGIN_LNC014239)". The record is from RNAcentral. Lineage: Eukaryota; Viridiplantae; Streptophyta; Magnoliopsida; Apiales; Araliaceae.